Molecule: long non-coding RNA, 1247 nt
Organism: Zea mays
Lineage: Eukaryota; Viridiplantae; Streptophyta; Magnoliopsida; Poales; Poaceae
Exons: 2
Source: RefSeq, a predicted model, not a curated record
AACACACUGUGGUUCCUUGUCUGGAUUACUCAAGAACAUUUCUAAGUGACGAACAAUACCAACAUAGUUUACUGCAGCCAUUGAAUAAAAGUAAGUUCCGAUACAUUUAGGAAUUCUACUACAGUUUGUUUCUGUUUCUACAUUUUCUCACUGGAAUUUUAAAACUGAGUUUGAUUCUUGUGCUAAGGUUUCUAACCCUUAGUUUUAUGCAAAUAACGUCACAAUAGAUUAUGGUGAAUUUGAGUUGUCUAUUCUGGUAAAAGGGUGUCAUAUUUUAUCUCGAUCCUGAGAGCACCCAUUUUUUAUCACUGCUUGUGUAUGGUUUACACUUAAUAUACUAAGGUCAGAACUAUGAACUAUUUCAAUCCAAGUAUAAUUCAUUAAUAUUUAUUCUAUGAUACUUCCACAACACUGUUUGUGUUGAUAUCCCUGAGCCCUGAAAACCAAAGCUUAUUGGUUUAUAUGGGCAAAUGGUAACACUGAAAGCUAAGAUAGCUUGAUGGAGAAUUUGACACUUCCUUUGCUGAGAUCCUAUCUGGCAUUUCUUCUAGAUGGUCAGAUUUUGCAAGCAUUGGAUGGAGGCUCUGAUGCGUUUGUUAUGGGAUUGAGUUCUGCUCAAUCACAGCUCUCAGUUCUAGAUAGUUCUUCGCGGCUUGGACUAAAGCCAUGGCAAAAAACAAAGCCAUGUAUUGAGAUAUUGUGCAAUAACCAGGUUCUAUCACCAGAGAUGAGUUUGGCUACUGUGCGAACAUAUAUAUGGAAAAAGCCAGAAGAUUUGAUUCUUCAUUACAGAGUGGUCCAACCGAGAUGAUCACGGCUUCAGAUGUACAUGCUGACAUGGUUCUCAGCAUGGCUGCACCAUAAACGGUGUGGUUGAAGACACCCUUGGCUUAGCGAGGAAACCGUCAGAAAUAUUUUGCUCUUUGGCUCCGGUAGCCGCUCUCCUAGAAUCCCGACUUCGUUUGCUUCUUUGUAAAGUUCCUUCCUGAUCUUGCCCUGGUAGUAAGAUGUAUCAUAGCACAGGUAUAAGGCCCUCUGCUUGUACAUGUAGAAGAUUUGGGUGAUUAAUAAAGGUCAAAUGGAUUUUUUUCGUUUUUCUUUGACAAAGUUUGUAAGAAAACGGGCUGGUUCUCGGCUCAGACCGUGGCGUUCCGACGUCGAUUAUUGGAUUUAAACCUGUCGCAUCCUCUUGGUUCUGUUAGCAUAAGAGGUGGACGGGAUGUCGGGAGCAAUAAAGCUGUUUUUUU